Non-coding RNA from Dromiciops gliroides (monito del monte), 649 nucleotides. The record is from the annotation of a RefSeq genome assembly. Lineage: Eukaryota; Metazoa; Chordata; Mammalia; Microbiotheria; Microbiotheriidae.
CUGCACCAUGGAGUCCCUGUCCCAGCUUCUCUGUGGGCUCCUGAUGCUCCUGGUCCCAGGUUCCAGGGGAGAAAUUGUGCUGACUCAGUCUCCAGCCUCAGUGUCUGUGACCCCAGGAGAGAGAGUCACCAUCAGCUGCAAGGCCAGUCAGAGUCUCAAACACAGUGAUGGAAACACUUAUCUCAGCUGGUUCCAACAGAAACCUGGGCAGUCUCCUCGGGGCCUCAUAUACUAUGUUUCCACCCUGUACUCAGGAGUCCCGGCCAGGUUCAGUGGCAGUGGGGCUGAGAAGGACUUCACCCUCACCAUCAGCAGUGUGGAGGCUGAAGAUGGGGCCUCUUAUUACUGUUUUCAAGAAUCUUUUUCUCCUCCCACAGUGCUACAGCCCCGAACAAAAACCUCCCCAGCCCAGGCUGGCUGCUCAGGGAGGCUCAGCUGUCUCCUCUGCUUCUGCUCCUGCAGCAACUGCUGGGCUGCCUGCUCAGGUCUGCGUCUCAUGGGGCUGGGCCGGCCAGGCCUCCAGGUACGCCGUCCCGGGAGCGCGGAGGCUCCCCAGGAGUCCAGGGUCACAGUCGCCUUCAGGACUGCUGCUGCUGCUGCGCGGGGAUCCCCGCCGUCAGGGUCGGGCCGCCUAGGCUUUCCUCGGUGA